GAUGAACGCUGGCGGCGUGCCUAAUACAUGCAAGUCGAGCGAACAGACUAGGAGCUUGCUCCUCUGACGUUAGCGGCGGACGGUUGAGUAACACGUUGUUAACCUACCUAUAAGACUGGGAUAACUUCGUUAAACCGGAGCUAAUUCCGGAUAAUAUAUUGAACCGCAUUGUUCAACAGUGAAAUACGGUUUUGCUGUCACUUAUAGAUGGAUCCGCGCCGCAUUAGCUAGUUGGUAAGGUAACGGCUUACCAAGGCAACGAUGCGUAGCCGACCUGAGAGGGUGAGCGGCCACACUGGAACUGAGACACGGUCCAGACUCCUACGGGAGGCAGCAGUAGGGAAUCUUCCGCAAUGGGAGAAAGCGUGAAGGAGCAACGCCGCGUGAGUGAUGAAGGUCUUCGGAUAGUAAAACUAUGUUAUUAGGGAAGAACAAAUGUGUAAGUAACUAUGCACGUCUUGACGGUACCUAAUCAGAAAGCCACGGCUAACUACGUG
This 497-nucleotide ribosomal RNA is filed under the name uncultured bacterium. RNAcentral's name for it is "partial 16S ribosomal RNA". It matches the Rfam family "Bacterial small subunit ribosomal RNA", at positions 28 to 507 of the family's 1533-position model. The record is from RNAcentral.